This 494-nucleotide ribosomal RNA is filed under the name uncultured bacterium. RNAcentral's name for it is "partial 16S ribosomal RNA". It matches the Rfam family "Bacterial small subunit ribosomal RNA", at positions 28 to 507 of the family's 1533-position model. The record is from RNAcentral.
GACGAACGCUGGCGGCGUGCUUAACACAUGCAAGUCGAACGGUGAAGCGCCUUGCUUGUUGGUGGGUGGUGAGGAGUGGCGAACGGGUGAGUAACACGUGAGUAACCUGCCCCCUUCGUCUGGAUAACGGCAUGAAAGUGUGGCUAAUAGGGGAUAUUCUGGAUCUGUUGCUUGAUGGGUCAGGGAAAGAUUUUGUGUCGGUGGGGGAUGGGCUCGCGGCCUAUGAGCUUGUUGGUGGGGUGAUGGCCUACCAAGGCGGUGGCGGGUAGCCGGCCUGAGAGGGUGGACGGUCACACUGGGACUGAGACACGGCCCAGACUCCUACGGGAGGCAGCAGGGGGGAAUAUUGCACAAUGGGCGCAAGCCUGAUGCAGCGACGCCGCGUGAGGGAUGGAUGCCUUCGGGUUGUGAACCUCUUUCGCCAGUGAAGCAGGCCUGCCUCGUUUGUGGGUGGGUUGACGGUAGCUGGAUAAGAAGCGCCGGCUAACUACGUG